CCUACGGGUGGCAGCAGUGGGGAAUUGUUCGCAAUGGGCGCAAGCCUGACGACGCAACGCCGCGUGGAGGAUGAAGGUCUUCGGAUUGUAAACUCCUGUUGCUCGGGACGAAAAGCUUUGACCUAACACGUCAAAGUCUGACGGUACCGAGUGAGGAAGCCCCGGCUAACUCUGUGCCAGCAGCCGCGGUAAUACAGAGGGGGCAAGCGUUGUUCGGAAUUACUGGGCGUAAAGGGCGCGUAGGCGGCCCUCUAAGUCAGACGUGAAAUCCCCGGGCUCAACCCGGGAACUGCGUCUGAUACUGGAGGGCUUGAAUCCGGGAGAGGGAUGUGGAAUUCCAGGUGUAGCGGUGAAAUGCGUAGAUAUCUGGAGGAACACCGGUGGCGAAGGCGGCAUCCUGGACCGGUAUUGACGCUGAGGCGCGAAAGCCAGGGGAGCAAACGGGAUUAGAUACCCGGGUAGUC
This 464-nucleotide ribosomal RNA is filed under the name uncultured bacterium. RNAcentral describes it as "bacterial SSU rRNA". It matches the Rfam family "Bacterial small subunit ribosomal RNA", at positions 338 to 795 of the family's 1533-position model. The record is from RNAcentral.